CUGCUCCAAUUAAUAGUUCCGGCAUGGAAAGCUUGUAAACAUGCUUAACCUCUUUUCGUCCGCCCUUUCUUUUUCCAAAUAGUCCGUCAAGAUAUGAUGGUCUGGAAACCCGACAACCUUGAAAGAUGUUUAUGUUGAACUGUUUACCUCACCAUGUGUGCAAAUCCUUUGUCUCAACAUUAAAUAUUAUUCAACGUGGUUGCACAUUUCAUUCAGCUAUCCCUGUUGGACGAUAAAGCCUGGUUCACA
Molecule: non-coding RNA, 249 nt
Organism: Paramuricea clavata
Lineage: Eukaryota; Metazoa; Cnidaria; Anthozoa; Malacalcyonacea; Plexauridae
Source: the annotation of a GenBank genome assembly